Pelobates cultripes (western spadefoot toad) is the source of this 258-nucleotide non-coding RNA. The record is from the annotation of a GenBank genome assembly. Lineage: Eukaryota; Metazoa; Chordata; Amphibia; Anura; Pelobatidae.
GAACAUGCAUACAUAUGUGGUGGGAGUGCCCAUAUGUCAUGUCAUUCUGGAGGGCUGUUAGAAACCAGGUGUUCUCUAGGACGCCGGACCUAGACCCAUGGGUAUAUCUACUGAAUAGAUCCGUCGAUGGAUGGAACCUACGAGAACAAACAUUGAUACAUAAAAUUAUGUUAGCUGCACGACACGCUAUAGCAUACACAUGGCUAAAACCAGACUUACCCCACAUAGCAAGCGUGAUAACUAGAAUCAAAGAGAUAC